Molecule: small RNA, 447 nt
Filed under: Pongo abelii (Sumatran orangutan)
Lineage: Eukaryota; Metazoa; Chordata; Mammalia; Primates; Hominidae
Description: retained intron
Source: RNAcentral
CAGUGUUGUUAGAGAUCAGAAUCUCUCUAAUGUGUGGACAGUUGAAUAUGCACUUGAAUUACUAUUUAUUGGUGGCCUGGUUCCAGAGGCUGUGUGGUUGGCAUAUAAACUUGGAGACUGGAAGACGUCUGUUUCAAUUGGUGUGGCUUUCCAGCUGUUCUGUAAACAUGAUAGCAAUUUCAUGAGGUCCAAGAAAAAGAGUCUGAAUCUACCACUGUGUAUGACUCCAGCACAGAUUUUUCAGGAAAAACUGCAGUGUUUUUUAGGUCAACCAGCCUCUUUGGAAGCAAAAAAUGAAAUGGGCUCAAAAUAUAAACAGUUUACAGGUGUGUUAUGUAUGUAUGGUCUGACUCGUGUCAGAUUAAUAUAAACCUUAUAAUACCUUAAAAAGUUUAUACAUGUCUACAAAUGUAUUAACACUUUGAAAUAAACUUAUCAAAAAUGAAA